Molecule: non-coding RNA, 953 nt
Organism: Leptonychotes weddellii (Weddell seal)
Lineage: Eukaryota; Metazoa; Chordata; Mammalia; Carnivora; Phocidae
Source: RefSeq, a predicted model, not a curated record
GAGGCGGGCUGGGUGCGCGGGCGCGGAGGUGAGCGUGAGGGGCCCAGGCUGGGCAGGCGUGCGCGGAGUGGAGAAGCUGAGCGCGUCGUGCCAGGGUCCCCGGGCGGCGGGCAGCGGUUAACGACGGGGACCCCGGGGACUCCACGGUCUCAUCCACGCCCUCGGUGCUGGGCGACGGAGGCCGCCUUGCCCCAUUCUGGGGAGGAAACUGAGGCACAGGGGUCUCUUCCCUGUGCAGAGUGGACACGGCGGCAGGGGACGGGUGCUGGCACUGCGGUGCCCCUGGCCACCCCUGCGCUCCUGAACUCUGGGUGGGGAGGGCCACGGGCACUGCCCAAGAGCUCCCAAGGGUGAGUUCCCUAGUCCCUGCCUCCCCGUGAUCACAGGGUGUCACGUGUGUCUGGAUGAGGGCAGGUGCAGCUGGGACACUGGUAUAAAAAAAUAUAUAGUCUUUGUCCCCAGGUCCUGGCACAUUUUCUCUCGGAGAGAAAGGACUCCCCUAAUUAAAUCCUUGCCCGUUUGGUUUUUUUGGUGUCUUGCUCCUCGGAGGAGCUGGGCCAACAGUGUUCAUUAUAAAAUAUUUAGAACAUACAGAGAAGCAAAAUGCAGGUAGUAACAGACUUAGCUCCGGAGGAGCCAGAGAGAGGGGCUGCUCCACACCUAACUGCAGGGGCAGGGAGGGCCUUCCACCUGCCGGGGCCCGGGGGCUGUCCCGGGAGUGUGGCCCAAGACUUCUUACCAGGCUGUAGCCACACCCCGGGCAGCAGAAGAGGGGCGGAGAGAAAGUGGUGGGUCUCCCCGAGGGCCCUUCCACUUCCAGCUCAUUUGCCAAAACGGAGUGAUUCGGCCACAGUCUCUGCAGAAGCAGGGCUCCCUCUCUGCUCUGCGUGUUGUGACUUGUUUGUUCCACUUGUCAGCCUCCCACGUAGGUCUUCACAUGUCUUUAAAUCAUU